GGAAGUAAUGGACGGAGGACACCGCCCAGCUCCAGUGUGCCCAGCACUGCCGGGCCUGGGCAAGGGGCUCAGAACCCAACUGCCACCCUCGGCCCCUGCUCUGCUGCAGCUGUGACACUCCCUUCCGCAUGUGUCAGCAAGGUGACUUGCCUGUUUACUGCUGGCUUCUUGCUAGUGUGAGCCCUGUGAGAGGCAGGACCCCACGCACGGGCUCUCCGGCCCCUACAAGGCGGGGCAUGUAGCAGGACCUGAAUGGCUGAGGAGUGAAUGAACCCCAGUGGCCAUGGACACAGGUCCACAGACGUCCUGCAGACUCAUUCCCUGGGAAGCCUCGCUGCACCUGGCUCCAGGAUGCCACGGGACUCCUGUCACCAGCUGCUUCCUGGCUUCAAUGUCGACUUUGACGUGUGGCCCUUCUUGCAGGGAUGCCGAGCAAGCCGGUCACCUCCACUGGACAACUGGAGCCUUCUAUACUUGAGAUCCAAGGGGAAGAUGUGUGGUCAGGAAGCAGGGAUGGCAUCAGGUGGGACGGCUCAAGUCCAGCGUGGGGCAGAGGCAGCUGCUGAGCAGACCUGGGUCAGAGCCCAGGGCGGCUGGGUGCCCAGCCGGGAAUGUGCCCCUUAACAUGCAUCUGUCAAUAUGUCAAAAACUGUUCUCCUGGGGCCUCAGUUUGUUUCUCAAUGUAGCAAACAUUGUGUUCUCCCUAACCAGAUUCACAUUCA
This is a long non-coding RNA of Marmota monax (woodchuck), 722 nucleotides long. RefSeq lists it as uncharacterized. The record is from RefSeq and is a predicted model, not a curated record. The transcript is spliced from 2 exons. NCBI's taxonomy places the organism in Eukaryota, Metazoa, Chordata, Mammalia, Rodentia, Sciuridae.